UACAGAGGGGGCAAGCGUUAUUCGGAAUUAUUGGGCGUAAAGGGCGCGUAGGCGGCCUGGCAAGUGGAAGGUGAAAUCCCUCGGCUUAACCGAGGAACUGCCCUCCAAACUGCUUGGCUUGAGUCCGGGAGAGGUGAGUGGAAUUCCCAGUGUAGCGGUGAAAUGCGUAGAUAUUGGGAGGGACACCAGUGGCGAAGGCGGCUCACUGGACCGGAACUGACGCUGAGGCGCGAAAGCGUGGGGAGCAAACGGG
This 253-nucleotide ribosomal RNA is filed under the name uncultured bacterium. RNAcentral describes it as "partial 16S ribosomal RNA". It matches the Rfam family "Bacterial small subunit ribosomal RNA", at positions 524 to 776 of the family's 1533-position model. The record is from RNAcentral.